GACGAACCGAGCGAACGUUGUUCGGAAUCACUGGGCUUAAAGGGUGCGUAGGCGGGUUGCCAAGUUUGGGGUGAAAUCCUCCGGCUCAACCGGGGAAGUGCCUUGAAUACUGGCGGUCUCGAGGGAGGUAGGGGCGUGCGGAACUAACGGUGGAGCGGUGAAAUGCGUUGAUAUCGUUAGGAAUUCCGGUGGCGAAGGCGGCACGCUGGACCUCUUCUGACGCUGAGGCACGAAAGCCAGGGGAGCGAACGGG
This 253-nucleotide ribosomal RNA is filed under the name uncultured bacterium. Its description in RNAcentral is "partial 16S ribosomal RNA". It matches the Rfam family "Bacterial small subunit ribosomal RNA", at positions 524 to 776 of the family's 1533-position model. The record is from RNAcentral.